CUCAUAUUCUAGGAUCGAUAGAUUCCUGAUCCCUCACUCCUUGACUCCGAUAGUACAGAAAACAAGCAUAGGACAGAUAACAUAGUCCGAUCAUGCCCCUACCAAACAACACACUUCACAAAAGAUCAGUGGUUACGAUCAAUCUUAGCGCUAAAGGCUCCCACCAGAUAAACUAAACAAAAUGUACCCACGAUCCUCAGCACAAUGUUGGAGGUGUGAACAGCACAGAGGUACGAUGAGUCACAUAUGGUGGCACUGUCCGAAUAUACAACCGUUGUGGACAGUCUUCCAGACAAUAUGUAACUCCCAGGGGGUCCACCAAGGAAAGAUCACACCUGAUAUAGGUCUGUUUCUACUAUUACCUACAAACACCCCUUUCCCAGAUAGACAGCUAAUGAUAAUUGUAAUCAUGGCAGCACGUAACCUCCUAGCAUAUCAUUGGAAACAAAAAGAAUGUCCAUCGUCAAAACUACUGUACAGUAAAAUAUGACAAUAUCUUAGGUACGAGCAAUUGUCUACGGCUACGCCUAAACAUAGGAAUGCCACACACACUAAUUGGCAAAAAUUGAUAAAUUUCAAUCCACCAUCGGAGCCAUAGCCUAAGACUCAUAGCCCACACAGGUAUUAGACAGCCAGGUAUAAUGGGAGGGCAGCCUAGAGGACCUCACGAUAACAGAGGGCAGCGCAGGUACACAUAUAUAUAGCAGCAAUACUGGCCAAAGAUAGACCGCUUUCGAGCUUGGGGUCGAAUCGACCAACCUCGUGUAGAGGAACAGCUUGCAGACAAUCAUGCAGCUGCGCCCUUCAGACAGGAGUCACACCUGCAAUUAGACCAUAGAGGCACCAUAGACCCUGAGAGUACCGCUCAGGAUAUCACUCAUAGCACAUAUACCUGUAAAACUAUGCUAUUGGGUAUUGUAUAUGACUGGAAUGUCACUAAAUGUAAAAUCAGAACACGCCGGCUCUGGUAUAAGCUGAUACCGUGAAUGGACAUGUGUUUUUUUACCUUU
Pelobates cultripes (western spadefoot toad) is the source of this 1010-nucleotide non-coding RNA. Lineage: Eukaryota; Metazoa; Chordata; Amphibia; Anura; Pelobatidae. The record is from the annotation of a GenBank genome assembly.